CAGUCGCCACGGUAAGACAGAGGAUGCAAGCGUAAUCUGGAAUGAUUGGGCGUAAAGCGUCUGUAGGCGGAUAUUUAAGUCAGGGGUGAAAUCCCAGAGCUCAACUCUGGAACUGCCUUUGAUACUGGGUAUCUUGAGUAUGGAAGAGGUGAGUGGAAUUCCGAGUGUAGAGGUGAGAUUCGUAGAUAUUCGGAUGAACACCUGUGGCGAAGGCGGCUCACUGGUCCAUUACUGACGCUGAGGUGCGAAAGCGUGGGGAGCAAACAGGAUUAGAUACCCCAGUAGUCCCUGUCUCUUAUAA
RNAcentral lists this ribosomal RNA (301 nucleotides) under uncultured bacterium. RNAcentral's name for it is "partial 16S ribosomal RNA". It matches the Rfam family "Bacterial small subunit ribosomal RNA", at positions 509 to 809 of the family's 1533-position model. The record is from RNAcentral.